AGGUGUAUGGCUAACAAAAUGCACUUAGGCCAUGAACUUUUGGGGCAAAGGGAAACCCACGUUUUGGCAACACCGUCCACAACCCGGUUUCAUGAAGAACCUACCCGGUUUCAUGAAGAACCCAAGAAAACAUCCUCAGUGUAGAAUCAGAAAUGCGACACUCAUCAAACGCGAGGAAGAGCUUACCUUCGCUGCCGUAAAAUCGUCAAUGGUGGUCACGCGAGCGAUCAGAUUCGCUUUUGUUGUUGAUUCGUCGAUGUCGUCUAUGUCGUGGCUCUGCUUCGCAGGCGAUUAGAUCCGCUGUUGUCGACGACGAAGAACAUCGCUAUGCGACAACCAUAAUUUAUCACGAAUUAUCAAGAAGCUUUGUUCAUCGUCCGAGUAAUUGACGCCGAAAUCUUGGAUUCGUGUUCAACAGUUCGAUACAAUGGCUCCAGGUUGAAGAUGAGCUUGAAGAGGUCGAUGGAGUGUUUUUUGUUCUAUUGAGAAGUUGAGGGUUCGUUAGAAGUUGUGGUUAUACGAGGUUCUGUUAUGUGAUUCGGUUGGGAUUUGGUUGCAGUUUGUUGGACAGUUAUGAGGAUGGUUAGAGUUGGUUUGAGCAGAGUUAGUUGAAAUUUUGUUGAAGGGUCUUUGGUUAGAUGCAGGUUUUUGGUUGGAGGGUCGUUGUAGUUUGAGAAGUUGGAGUUGGUUAUGGUGAAGCUCAGUUUUGAAUGAGUUCUCGUGGAAGCAAUUUCUAUGAUGAUAGCGUUGUUUAUUGAAGGUUGUAGAGUUUUUUUUGUGGAGUUCUCUUGUUGAAAGGUUUUGUUACAGAUUUAGUUUUGGAGGUGGUUGAAAAGUUUCGGUUUCGGUUAGGAAAUUGUGAGGUUUUUGAUGGGUUCUGAAUUGGAGGGUGUGGUUGAGAGUUAUGGAGAGAAGUUAGUUCUGAAGGUGUUUGAAGUUGGAAUUAUGUUAUAAGGAAUGGAAAGUUCAAGUUUUUGGAAGUGGUUCUGUUCUCUUGUUAUAUGUUCUGUUGAGGUUUUUGUGUGGUUUUGAUAAUAAUUACGCCGAUUUUGAAUUGCUUGUGAUUAAAACUUGAAUUCUCUGUUUCAUUUGCAGGUUGUGCAUCAUGCUUGAACUGAAUGGAUAUGGAAUGCAUUGCUUGAAAUUGGACUGGAAUGCUUGGAAUUUCUUUUAAUCAUGUUGCAAAUUGGUUGAAAUUUUGGAAUGUAUUCGAAACUUGGUUGUAAUUGUUGUAACAUGUGGGAUAAAAUUGGAUGUAAUGUUUAGUUUAUGAAUGCAAUGACAUAGUGGAAAUUGUACUUGAUCUUGGAAUUGAACAUUGUAUAGAGUUUGUAUGAAAAUUUGAAUUGUAAUGGUUUAGGUUUGUAUUGAAUGUAUAUGACAUGGCUUAUGAAUAAAAAUGAAAUUUGGCUCA
Molecule: long non-coding RNA, 1414 nt
Organism: Lathyrus oleraceus (garden pea)
Lineage: Eukaryota; Viridiplantae; Streptophyta; Magnoliopsida; Fabales; Fabaceae
Exons: 2
Source: RefSeq, a predicted model, not a curated record